GAUGAACGCUGGCGGCGUGCCUAAUACAUGCAAGUCGAGCGAACAGAUGAGGAGCUUGCUCCUCUGACGUUAGCGGCGGACGGGUGAGUAACACGUGGAUAACCUACCUAUAAGACUGGGAUAACUUCGGGAAACCGGAGCUAAUACCGGAUAAUAUAUUGAACCGCAUGGCUCAAUAGUGAAAGACGGUUUUGCUGUCACUUAUAGAUGGAUCCGCGCCGCAUUAGCUAGUUGGUAAGGUAACGGCUUACCAAGGCAACGAUGCGUAGCCGACCUGAGAGGGUGAUCGGCCACACUGGAACUGAGACACGGUCCAGACUCCUACGGGAGGCAGCAGUAGGGAAUCUUCCGCAAUGGGCGAAAGCCUGACGGAGCAACGCCGCGUGAGUGAUGAAGGUCUUCGGAUCGUAAAACUCUGUUAUUAGGGAAGAACAAAUGCGUAAGUAACUAUGCACGUCUUGACGGUACCUAAUCAGAAAGCCACGGCUAACUACGUG
Molecule: ribosomal RNA, 497 nt
Filed under: uncultured bacterium
Lineage: Bacteria
Description: partial 16S ribosomal RNA
Rfam family: Bacterial small subunit ribosomal RNA
Source: RNAcentral